CUCAUCUGUUGCCACGUUGCUUUGUGGGCUGCCUUAACCCCCUCUGUCUUGUUUUCUUUUCUCUCUCCCUUGCCUCUCCUUCUCCCUUCAUCCUUUUCUCUUUCAAGGUUUGCUGUCAUCUCCCAUGGCGUCGGUGCGGCCCCGCCGUUUUCCCCGGCAAAAAACUAUCGGCUUUCUUGAUGUUUUAAGGUUAAUGUUAGUGUUAAAAAAUCUGAUUUUGGAUCUGUUGAGCUAGAAUUUGAUCUCGAUCGCGUUUUCUAGGGUUUCUACUUCUAGAUCUUUUGAUUGGCUGAUGCGGAGGUGAAAGCAACGAGCUUCAAGUUGCUUCAAGUUCAAGGUUUCUCUCCUUGACUCUUUCCCUUUCUCCUCUGUUGAUUACGUUUUUUAGGGUUUAUGAUAUCAAUUUUCUUCAUUUUCUCUACACACGCACUCUCCUUCUCUCAGCCAUUCGAGCCAUCUAUCUCUAGGGUUUUGAACUUUCAUUUUCUGUUUUCAUAACUCUGUCCAUCAACUACCAUUCUCACUCCUAAAUAUCAAUUUCAAUUCGUAACUCUAAAUUCUUACAAAGUGAUCGAUGAACUUCUGAAGAUUUCUGCAAAAUUAGGGUUUUAAUUCUUCAGAACACGGUCAGAUCUUCGCGAAUUUCUAUCAAUUUGAUGAAAGUUGAUUGUUGAUGAGAUUCUGUAUGGCCAUCCCCCAACGAAGUAUUUCAAAGUAACAAUGAUCCGGGACUAUGGAUUUCGUUUCAUGUGAUGUAUAGUUAUUGCAGGAGUUUCUUGGUUUCAGCUAGGCGCAAAAAGUAUUGAGCUCACAAAGAAUGUAAACCAAUUAUCUAAAAACCAUAAGUUUAUCUGCUACUGGGUAUUUUCAAUGAUCGAAGAUCCAAAAAAAAUCAUGGUAAUUGAGGAAGAAGAGAUUGCAAAAGCGACAGUUCCAAAGUUUGUUAAUUGUUCUGCUUCUGCUACAGGUGCUUCUAUGGAUGACCACCACCAUUAUCAGCAACAGCAACAAAAACUUAGUUCAGCUAUCACUUUCAAUGGGGUCAUAAUUCCUGUUGAUUUGCCUCUAAAAGACAAAUUCACAGAUGAAUGAGUCCUUAUAUCACCAAUUUCAGAUACUCGGAGCCUAUGAAAGAGGCAUUAUUGUUCAAAAGUCACAAAUUCACAAUUUUGACAACAAUAAUAAGGCUACUGCAUAUGCAAGUACAUAAGUGAUCCCAUUUCAAGAGGUGAAACACAUAGAUUUUGGCACUGAAAUUACCCUUUUAGGCAGAUCCACAACCUCAAGGUGUCACACACCCUUCAAGAGUUCCUUGCCUGCCCGUCACAACACUCCGGCUAGCCGGUCUGGCCCACUAGCAUUGAUGCCCACUAGCCCAAUUAACAUGACUCAAUUACAAGAGUGUCAUUUUGCCAAGCUCCAAAUUGGAUCAACCCCAUUUGAUUCACUUACGACUAAUUGGAGCUUCAAAGAAGAGGAAGAGGAGAUAUCCAAGAGUUUAAGGCAUUUGAAAUUGGUAGGAGGAGUGUUUCUGUUUCUGAGUCCAGGGCUUGUGCUUGGGAAGAAGAGGAGAAGACCAAAUUUUGUCUUAGGGUUUUUUGACAGGGGUGAGACGGAGCUUGAACCAUAGUCCAAUUUCCAAAGGCCAACGUCCAUUACUAACUUCUUUGAUCCUCUCUAGCACCUUAUGCCCGCGUGGCAACCCUGUGUUCUGCAGCCCCGCCGCACUUCUCCCAUUGCCAAUCUGGGCGGUAUUUUGUUCCGAAGCUCGUUGACAGGGCUCGCAUUUCUGUUUGAGAUUUGCUUUAGCUAGCAUUUUUUGUUGCAACAAUUUCUCCGAGGUUCACUUUAAUGAUUUACUCUAUUGUUUGUUUUUUUGUUUGUUUGUUCAAUCAGGAGCAUCAUUUUCUAGGUGUUUCAGUCCUUCUAUCGCACUAAUUGAUCUAUGUUGCUUUUUAUCUAAUCGGCGUAAGGAUGGAACUUGUAUUAUCAUUUCAUAGAUAAUGAAGCUGGAUGUUCUACCCAGCUGAUCGAUGUGGGCUUUCAUAUAAUCAUAUGUCGUAUUUUACAUCGUGAGUCCACAAAGUAGUGGUAAUGUCCUGACCGUCCCAAGUACAUGGGCCCCUUCUCAGAGCAGACCACGUCAUACCUUACUGGUGAAAUCCCCAUCAUGGGAUACUGCUGGACUAUCAGAAGACCCCUGAAACCUUCGCCAGGAACCGUGAGGCGUGAGCUCAAGGUCAUCAACUCUAGGUGGGAUAUGCUUGGUGCCCUGCGCUGUGUAUUCCCCGAACACUUGUCAAGGAGCGAUGUCAGAUUGGGUGAAGUCGCAUGGUUUAAGGACGGAUCCCUAAUAGGGUACCCAAUACUUGAUACCAGAUUUUCGCUUGUCUGCCGAAGUUAAAACACAACACCGUUGGUUGUCUGCAUCAGCCAUCCAAUUAAACAUGUUGAAGAAUUAGUAAGUCUUACUACCUCUCUACUUCUCUUGUGUUUUUUUACAACGUGUUUAUUGUGUGAUGCAUUAUUGCUUUUCAAUUAUCACCUUUAAUGUGUUCUAUAGGCCUGUCCCUGUGUGCAAAAUAGAUUGUAGUGUAGCUCAAUUGUUGUUCUUGUUAUCAGUUACAACUUCUUGGAAACCUCUGUAUAUUGUUCGUUAUGAUUGUUAAGUUUUGUGUAUAUGAUCAUUCAAUUCAACUCAGUUUCUGGUCAACUAUUCUUUGAUUCAAUUUCCUAUUUUGUGCUGGUACUUUUAAUCAACCUGUAAAUUCUUGCACCUCCAAUUUCCUCAUAGCAUCUGUAUCACGGGUUUAUAUAUGGCUUCCACAAGACCGAAUCAUUUGCAUCUCUGCUGAUCUAACUUUUUGUUCACGCAUUUAGGAUAUUAAAUUUGGCUCUUGAUUGAGACUAUUUUCUUAUCUUUUUGGGUGGGCAGAUGGUUAUAUUGGGAAGAGCCUCAAAUGGUUAAGUAGAAAGGGAACUUGCAUGCCUUGCAACUUUGGUAAUUCGACAAUAACUUGAAAGUCAUCUCAGGACACAAUAGAAACUGAAAUUCAUUGUGUAUUUCCAGAAAGUUAAACGAGCUUAUUGUAUUACCUAUUCAGUAGGGCCAAGCUUACUUUCUCCAAGACUUCUUACUAGGUUUCAUGAAUGCAGAGACUAGAAGUGCAUGUAAGAAAAUGAACAAGGCUCUCUUGGAAGAUAAGAGAAAAAAUCAAAAGUCGAAUAACUGCCAUCAGGAAAAAUAUGUGGGGGGUAAUUAACUGGUCUUUAUGUCUCACUUUUGGCGUAUAUGAUAUAGUGCAUAGUAAACAUUUAACCAGGCACCCAAAUAGUGGUGGAUUUUUCAAUGUACCUUGGUGAUUCAUAUAUUUGUUUUGUGAUUGAAUUUUCAAAUGUGAAGUAUAUUCUUCUUGUGCUCCUGAAGUUCACAAGAGUUGAACGUCAUAAGAUUUUGAACCACAUUGUUCAUAGAGUACACUGCAGGAAACGUCCUUAAUAAUGACCGUGCAGCUCCAAUUGUUAGGAGACUAGGCGUGUUGGGACUUGGGACCAAUUCUUAUACACCCUCUACCUCCUUUCCUCUUACAUAGGGAGGGGUUGUUUGUUGGAUGCUUACCUAAUAUGUAUGCCGGAGUUUACAUCUCGCAUAAACUCUUGUCUGAUUAACAUAGUUAUAUAUUCAGGUGAAUUUGCAAGCUUAGCUUCAUGUACCUUAUUUUGGGGGAUCAGGGUUCUGUUUUUAAUUUUUGGGAAAUUCUUCAUAUAUGCUUUUCAAGAGAUACACUCUUCUUAUUCUUUUUUUUUUUCUUUGUUAAUUUGUGAGCUCAGUCUCACUUAUUCUGUUACUCAGAAGUCAAUCCGAUUCCAUCAGUUUGUGUAUAUUUUUCUGCGUGUGCGGGUGAUGGCAUCUUUUGGUUAAACUCUUUAUGAUUUAUAACUUGUUUGAUUAUCUCCUUUUUUUUCUGUAUGUAUCAGCAGAAGAGAUCCCAUGAGUGAUAAAAUAUAGUAAUUUUGUUUUAUCUAUCUGCAUCCCCUAUUUUGUUUACUUUUUAAAUUUUUGGGCUCUACCUAGAUAUGAUCAGGGAUGGGUUGCGACUUUGGUGUUGUAAUGUCCUUAUUUGAUUGAAUAAGUUCACAUUGUUGCGGGCUUCCCACUGUCAUGUUCAAAGCCUAAUUAUUACCAAAAUUGUUGAGCUUUGCAAAGAUUGGCAGGUUGUCUUAAGCUCAUGGUGAAUUAGUUGAUGCGUUGAGCGGUUGAGGUAUUUCAUUGAGGUAAAAAUGAUCAAGAACAAUAACUUAAGCUAACUGCCAUGGUUUCAUUUUAGAUACGAAGAGGAAUCCAUGGUUUCCAAACCUGAAAUGCGUCAGGAACUUGGUCCAUUUAUAAUCACUAGGCAAGGCAUUAUCAAGUCAGAAACAUUUAAAUAGAAGAAAUUCUCAACUGCAUUUUCUAUAAUUCUGCAUAUAACUCUGAGUCUCUGAUAUUCUGAAUUGUUUAUCAGGUGUUAAUGAAUACGGAUUAGCUUUCGUCCCUCACUGCAUCAAAAUGAAGAUCAGUGACAGUUUGACAGUUAUAUCCUGCACAUUUUAAGUGGUCUGAGAAUCAAAAUGAAGGUCUUUAAGACAAGAUCGUGUGUUAAUGAGGACUAGAUAUCAAUAUUGUAUAAUACCCCCUCAAUACAUGUAAUUAUGUAAAUGAGUCUGUUGAAGCUUGCUCGUGAUCAAUAAUAGCUUGGCAGCUGGUUAUAUCACGCACAUUUAAACAGGUCCAACUAUUUGUCAUGAAGAAGAGAUGGAUAAAUGUUACUGAAGUUAGAAGACUCACUUUUCAAACUGGAAUUAAACAGUUGGUUGUAGCUAGCACAAAGUAAAUCAUUUGCUGCAUUGAUGCUGCUGAAGUACUGCUCUGCUUUCUUUGGGAGUUGACAGACUGCUAAUAAAGGCUCGUCUUCUUAACUAUACCACCUAAAAAGCACUGUUUAUAAUGCUUUCAUGUUUCUGCUCAUUGUGCUUUAGCUGCAAUUAUUAUAGUAGUAUAUGCCUGUUAAGUUUUUGUUUAUUUGUUCGGAUGAUGGGGAUAUUUCCUUUUCAAAGUUCUGAUUUUGGAACAUUGUUGUAUCAU
Molecule: long non-coding RNA, 5125 nt
Organism: Spinacia oleracea (spinach)
Lineage: Eukaryota; Viridiplantae; Streptophyta; Magnoliopsida; Caryophyllales; Amaranthaceae
Exons: 8
Source: RefSeq, a predicted model, not a curated record